AACGCACAUUGCGCCCAUCAGUAUUCUGUUGGGCAUGCCUGUUCGAGCGUCAUUUCCACCUUCAAGCCCUAGCUGCUUGGUGUUGGGGUGCUCUACAGCUCUGCUGUAGGCCCCGAAAAUCAGUGGCGGUCUCGCUAGGACCCCGAGCGUAGUAGAUUUCUUUCUCGCUUAGGGGAGCCGAGCGGGUUUCCAGCCGUUAAACCCCCCAAUUUUUACAAGGUUGACCUCGGAUCAGGUAGGAAUACCCGCUGAACUUAA
This 258-nucleotide unclassified non-coding RNA is filed under the name uncultured fungus. Its description in RNAcentral is "partial contains 5.8S ribosomal RNA, internal transcribed spacer 2, and large subunit ribosomal RNA". Lineage: Eukaryota; Fungi. The record is from RNAcentral.